RNAcentral lists this ribosomal RNA (468 nucleotides) under uncultured bacterium. Its description in RNAcentral is "bacterial SSU rRNA". It matches the Rfam family "Bacterial small subunit ribosomal RNA", at positions 329 to 797 of the family's 1533-position model. The record is from RNAcentral.
UACCAGACUCCUACGGGAGGCAGCAGUGAGGAAUAUUGGUCAAUGGCCGAGAGGCUGAACCAGCCAAGCCGCGUGAGGGAUGAAGGUACAGAGUAUCGUAAACCUCUUUUGUCAGGGAACAAAGGCGGGGACGCGUCCCCGGAUGAGUGUACCUGAAGAAAAAGCAUCGGCUAACUCCGUGCCAGCAGCCGCGGUAAUACGGAGGAUGCGAGCGUUAUCCGGAUUUAUUGGGUUUAAAGGGUGCGCAGGCGGAAUGUCAAGUCAGCGGUAAAAUUUCGGGGCUCAACCCCGUCGUGCCGUUGAAACUGGCGCUCUUGAGUGAGCGAGAAGUAUGCGGAAUGCGUGGUGUAGCGGUGAAAUGCAUAGAUAUCACGCAGAACUCCGAUUGCGAAGGCAGCAUACCGGCGCUCAACUGACGCUCAUGCACGAAAGCGUGGGUAUCGAACAGGAUUAGAUACCCGAGUACCU